AUUCCAUGAAGGGGACAUUUCCUAAGCAUCUCUUUGAACAAUCCCCAAGCAUCAAAUAAGGAUUCGUCAUCUCAUUGCCUAAAUGAAGUAAUCUCAUUCCCCAUCUU
Small nucleolar RNA from Lathyrus oleraceus (garden pea), 107 nucleotides. The record is from RefSeq and is a predicted model, not a curated record. NCBI's taxonomy places the organism in Eukaryota, Viridiplantae, Streptophyta, Magnoliopsida, Fabales, Fabaceae.